GCAAAACGCGAAGAACCUUACCUGGCCUUGACAUGCCACUAACGAAGCAGAGAUGCAUUAGGUGCUCGAAAGAGAAAGUGGACACAGGUGCUGCAUGGCUGUCGUCAGCUCGUGUCGUGAGAUGUUGGGUUAAGUCCCGCAACGAGCGCAACCCUUGCCAAUAAUUGCCAUCAUUCAGUUGGGCACUUUAUUGGGACUGCCGGUGACAAACCGGAGGAAGGUGGGGAUGACGUCAAGUCCUCAUGGCCCUUAUGGCCAGGGCUUCACACGUAAUACAAUGGUCGGUACAGAGGGUAGCCAACCCGCGAGGGGAGCCAAUCUCAGAAAGACCGAUCGUAGUCCGGAUUGUAGUCUGCAACUCGACUACAUGAAGUCGGAAGUCGCUAGUAAUCGCGGAUCAGCAUGUCGCGGUGAAUACGUUCCCGGGUCUUGUACACACCG
This 441-nucleotide ribosomal RNA is filed under the name uncultured bacterium. RNAcentral's name for it is "bacterial SSU rRNA". It matches the Rfam family "Bacterial small subunit ribosomal RNA", at positions 954 to 1392 of the family's 1533-position model. The record is from RNAcentral.